Molecule: long non-coding RNA, 2678 nt
Filed under: Marmota monax (woodchuck)
Lineage: Eukaryota; Metazoa; Chordata; Mammalia; Rodentia; Sciuridae
Source: RNAcentral
CCUUUUCACUUUCCGUUUUGUUUUUCCAACAGCCACCGAAGUUGCGGGCAGGUAAAACCAGGGACUUCCUCGACCCUGGCUUUGGCCUGCGUCGGAACCGCCAGGCUUGCUGGGAACAGCGCCCAACCGGUUCCUCAAACAGGUUGUGCCACGUGGCCUUGACCCGUGACACCCCUGCAGCUCGCGCCGAUUUGCACUCUCGGAGCGAAUGAGUCUUCUGGGCGGCUUCUCAGCCAGACAGCCCCGAGCGCUAUGCAAACCCAGUCCGACUGGCCUCCGGUGACCGACGACAUCCUGCGGCCUUCGCCUUUUGCGCAUCCUGGGCUGCACACCCUCCAUUGCGUGGCCCGCGUGCUGCUCUUCCCGACCUACUGGGCUCUGGACCAGUUGAUUGGCUGCUGGGCACCAACAGCGCGCCCCAGCAGGCUGAGAGCAGCAGCUGGCGGCGGGGUGGCGCUGCUGCUGCUCCUGCUAGUUGGCCUACCGCUGGCGUUGCCUGGCUUGCUACUCUGGCUGCCGCUGCAGGCCUGUCGCCGCCCCUUCUGCUACCAGCCCCCUCCUCCGUGCUGGGUGCCGCCCACGCCCUGGCGCCCGUGCGCUGAGUUUGCGCGCUGCUUUGUCUUCCUCACUGCCAACCUGUGCCUGCUCCCCGACGGGCUGGCGCGCUUCAGCAAUCUGCCACACAGCCAACAACGCGCAGAGGCCAUUGGCGCUACGCUGUUAAACGGCCUACGGCCCUCGCUUUAUGGAGCUACCGGAUGCAGCCCACAAAGGCUUGGGGAGCCAGGCGGGACGCUGACGGCCCAGAUGCCCGCGGGGCUGGACUUUGUGUGCCUGCAGGAGGUGUUCGAUAUUCGCGCAGCUCGACGCCUGGUGCGCUGCUUGGCUCCGAAUCUGGGCCCGGUGCUGUAUGACGUAGGCACACUUGGCCUACAGCCUGGGCCAUACUUAAAACUGCUAGGCAGCGGGCUCCUGCUGGCUUCCCGCUACCCGCUUCUGCGUGCCAACUUCCGUUGCUUUCCCAAUGCGCGUCGCGAGGACGCCUUUGCCUCCAAGGGUCUACUAUCCGCUCAGGUAUAUUCCCACAGGCUGUGUGCUCUGGCCCUGGAUGGGGUGAGCUGUUGGGCCGAAUGGGCAAUGAAAGCUGGUACUGUCGGUGGUGUUGCAGGUGCAACUGGGCAUCCUGGACGGGCACCGCGUAGUGGGAUUCCUGCAUUGCACGCAUUUACAUGCACCCACUGGUGAGCCCUGUGGGAAGGAUUGUUGGACGGUAGCCAGGCCCUCCUACGGCCCCUCUUUCGCAGCAGGCCUACCCUUAUUUGCACCUCUCUUUCCCACUGCCCACUGUUUUUUGUUCACUGCCCCAGUAAUGGCAACUCCCAAGAAGUGCCUGGGUGGGUGCAGAGACCCCAGUCUAGCGGGAACCAGGUGUCCAGGAUGUGGAUCCUCAACCUGGGCCGAAUAGAAGGCGGCACACCUCUACCCCCACCCUCCACCCCUUCUGUAGAGGAUGGGCUCUUGCGCUGCAAACAGCUGACGCUGCUACUGGACUGGGCAGAGCAGUUUGAGGCCGAGAGCCGCCAGAGUGGUGAGGCUGUGGCCUUUAGUGUGCUUCUGGGUGACCUAAAUUUUGACAACUGCUCAAAAGGUGAGGAGCUUAGCUGGGGGAGGCGAGGCCAAAAGGCCCAGCCCCGCCCACUGAACGCUGGUCUUAUGUGCAGACCACGCACAGGAACAGGGGCACAAACUCUUUCGCUGUUUCCGGGAUCCCUGCCGGCUGAGCACACGCCAGGAUCAGCCUUGGGCCUUGGGUAUGCGUCAGGGGGUUGGUGGGGGAGGGGUGGCCCCUCCAGGGAUUCAUCAGCUAGGCACCUGCUGAUUCAACCACCCCCACCCGCCCCCCACAGGAACCAUCCUAAGCACCUCCACCCUCCACCAAUCAGUAGCUAGCUCACCGGAGAUGCUGCGGAGGUGAGUGGAGCGCUGGGAGCCAAGCACUGCCGGCUGCGCCUGGAGGAGCGCCCCAGCCUUGGUGACAACGCCCCUCCCCUAGGGCCCUAGAGCAGGAGAAAGGGCGCCACCUCUACCUGGCAGGCCCUCCCCGCGGAGGCCGUCGGGCUAACCCCUGGCUGGGCCGGCGUCUGGACUACAUCACCUACCGGGAAAUGCCUGGGAGUGUGCUGAUUCCAGUAAGUGCCAGAGUUCAGGACUGCUGGGCUUGCUGGCACUGGAACCAUCCCUCAACCUGGUUCCUGCCCCCAGGAAGUGGAACAGGUUAUGUUUAGUACAGCCCUGGCGGGGCUCACAGACCACCUGACCGUGGGCCUGCAGCUCCGAGUUUCGGCGCUCUCCUGACACUGGCACAAAGGAUGCUGCCGGCAACACAGACCACAAGGCAGAGCACGAGUUUGGCCUGACAGCCGUGUCCCACAACUGGGCGAUGUAAGGGAUCUUUAUUACGGGGGCCUCACACAGCCUCUUGGGCCCUGCGGUACUCAUAGACACUACNAACACAUCCUGUGGAGAGAGGCGGGUUCAGAACAGGCUUGACCCUUCCCAGCCCGAGCAGCAUUCAUCAUCUUAACGUUUGGACCCCAGAGACCCGGCAUAUGACCCACUGCCCUUCGGGAACCAAAUUAAACUCGCUAUCUGGUUAUUUCUGCACCUCUGUUCAUUCU